RNAcentral lists this non-coding RNA (27 nucleotides) under Mus musculus (house mouse). Lineage: Eukaryota; Metazoa; Chordata; Mammalia; Rodentia; Muridae. The record is from RNAcentral.
UUAGUCAUGUUUGUCUAUCUAACAGGG